RNAcentral lists this ribosomal RNA (110 nucleotides) under Lepisosteus oculatus (spotted gar). The record is from RNAcentral. Lineage: Eukaryota; Metazoa; Chordata; Actinopteri; Semionotiformes; Lepisosteidae.
ACCAGCAGCCAUAUCACCCUGCAGCACUGGCAACCCACUGAAGCUCAGCAGGUGUGAGCUCGGUCAGUACCUGGAUGGGAGACCUCCUGGGAAAGCAAAGGUUGCUGCUC